UGUAUGAUCCUCGAAGAAAGACUGUUGUCUUCUAGCUUGCAAGUUCAGAAUGACUGCGCAGCUUGUCAGCAGCAAGGCUGUAUUCUCGAAGGACCAAAACGACUGUAUGUAUCCUCGAAGUAAGACUGUUGUCUUCUAGCUUGCAGGUUCAGAAUGACUGCGCAGCUUGUCAGCAGCAAGGCUGUAUUCUCGAAGGACCAAAAAACUGUAUGGAACAGUCUAUGGUUGAGUGAGUGAUGACCUGUGAGGGAAGGUUAUGAGGGAAACCAAACCCAAUGAAAGUCGAUCAAACACUAAAUUUAUUAAGAUUAUUUUGAGUAUAUAUAGGCAGAAGUACAGACGUCAUUUGACGUCAUUCGUAGCAAAC
RNAcentral lists this unclassified non-coding RNA (367 nucleotides) under Melitaea cinxia (Glanville fritillary). RNAcentral's name for it is "misc RNA ENSMCXG00005018559.1". The record is from RNAcentral. Lineage: Eukaryota; Metazoa; Arthropoda; Insecta; Lepidoptera; Nymphalidae.